RNAcentral lists this ribosomal RNA (253 nucleotides) under uncultured bacterium. RNAcentral describes it as "partial 16S ribosomal RNA". It matches the Rfam family "Bacterial small subunit ribosomal RNA", at positions 524 to 776 of the family's 1533-position model. The record is from RNAcentral.
UCCGUAGGGAGCAAGCGUUGUCCGGAAUCAUUGGGCGUAAAGCGCGCGUAGGUGGCCAUGUAAGUCCGCUGUGAAAGUCAAAGGCUCAACCUUUGAAAGCCGGUGGAUACUGCAUGGCUAGAGUACGGAAGAGGCGAGUGGAAUUCCUGGUGUAGCGGUGGAAUGCGCAGAUAUCAGGAGGAACACCGAUGGCGAAGGCAGGUCUCUGGGCAUUAACUGACGCUGAGGAGCGAAAGCAUGGGGAGCGAACAGG